Molecule: non-coding RNA, 125 nt
Organism: Mycena rosella
Lineage: Eukaryota; Fungi; Basidiomycota; Agaricomycetes; Agaricales; Mycenaceae
Source: the annotation of a GenBank genome assembly
GGUUGGAUGGCCGAGCGGUCUAAGGCGCCAGAUUAAGGUCCAGCUUCAAUUCGAAGCCUCCAUUUCUCCAUUGGGGAUAGAUUAUCUGGUCAUUCGUGGCGUGGGUUCGAAUCCCACUCCAAUCA